This 132-nucleotide ribosomal RNA is filed under the name Trichoderma amazonicum. RNAcentral describes it as "partial 28S large subunit ribosomal RNA". Lineage: Eukaryota; Fungi; Ascomycota; Sordariomycetes; Hypocreales; Hypocreaceae. The record is from RNAcentral.
UGACCUCGUCUCCGAAAUGCCAGUGGCGGUCUCGCCGCAGCCUNUCNUGNGCAGUAGUUUGCACACUCGCACCGGGAGCGCGGCGCGUCCACAGCCGUUAAAACNCCCAANNUUUCUGAAAUGUUGACCUCG